RNAcentral lists this ribosomal RNA (968 nucleotides) under fungal endophyte. RNAcentral describes it as "eukaryotic LSU rRNA". The stretch from base 150 to 303 matches the Rfam family "5.8S ribosomal RNA". Lineage: Eukaryota; Fungi. The record is from RNAcentral.
GUCCUAGAUAGGGGUAAAAACUCUAUUCUAUGCUGUUCAACCCUUUGUCUUUUGCGUACUGUAUGUUUCCUCGGCGGGUUCGCCCGCCGAUAGGACACUUCAAAACCUUUUGUAAUUGCAAUCAGCGUCAGAAAAACUAUAAUAGUUACAACUUUCAACAACGGAUCUCUUGGUUCUGGCAUCGAUGAAGAACGCAGCGAAAUGCGAAAAGUAGUGUGAAUUGCAGAAUUCAGUGAAUCAUCGAAUCUUUGAACGCACAUUGCGCCCCUUGGUAUUCCAUGGGGCAUGCCUGUUCGAGCGUCAUUUGUACCCUCAAGCUCUGCUUGGUGUUGGGUGUUUGUCCCGCCUUCGCGCGUGGACUCGCCUUAAAGUGAUUGGCAGCCGGAAUAAUUCUGGGGAACGCAGCACAACUGCAGCCUCCAUUUUACGCCGAGCGUCCAGUAAGCCUAUUUUUCACGUUUGACCUCGGAUCAGGUAGGGAUACCCGCUGAACUUAAGCAUAUCAAUAAGCGGAGGGAUCAUUAUCAAUUUUCGUCUGAAUAGGGGUAAAAACUCUAUUCUAUGCGUUCACUUUGUCUUUGGUACUGUAUGUUUCUCGGCGGUUCUCGCGAUAGGAACUUCAAACUUUUGUAAUUGCAUCGGUCGAAAACUAUAAUGUUUCACUUUACACGGAUCUCUUGGUUCGGCAUCAUAAAAGACAAAUGCAAAGUAUGUGAAUUGCAAAUCGAAAUUCAAUCUUUAGCUGGUCUUGGUAUUCAGGGGCAUGCGUUGCAGGUAUUGUACUCAGCUCUGCUUGUGUUGGGUGUUUGUUGCUUCGCGCUGCCAUCUCUUACAAGUGAAUUGGCGCCGAAUAUUCUGGGGAAGCAGACACGUGCAGUCUCUUUUAUCGAGCGUCAGUAGCUAAUUUUCCGUUGAACUCGGAAUCAGGAGGGAUACGCUGAACUUAGCUUAUCAUAACGGAGGAAGAA